AUGAUAUUAUGUAAGGUCUCGCCAGAUCAAUACUCUUUGCCGUCUGAUCAAGAUUCAACUGGUGGAGCUGUCGAAUCCAUGCCUCUGCACACACCUGCUGGACAAUUUUCCAGGUCUAAACAGAGUCUCAGUGUGCCAUCAUGUUUCUUGUGCCCUGCACCUCCAAGGCUCCAACUAGUAUUUUCAUUACCGACUUCAUGUUAUCAAAUAGUGCCAACAAUAGCCAGGGAUCAACUUGUCUGUAAGGCCCUGUUUCACACUCUAGACUUACAAGAACACUUUACUGGUAUUCUUAUAUUUAUGGCCUCUAUCACACAGAGAUCUGCCUUUACACUGUAUUAUCUGUUAUUCUAG
This 354-nucleotide ribosomal RNA is filed under the name Triticum aestivum (bread wheat). Its description in RNAcentral is "partial small subunit ribosomal RNA". The record is from RNAcentral. Lineage: Eukaryota; Viridiplantae; Streptophyta; Magnoliopsida; Poales; Poaceae.